This 427-nucleotide ribosomal RNA is filed under the name uncultured bacterium. Its description in RNAcentral is "partial 16S ribosomal RNA". It matches the Rfam family "Bacterial small subunit ribosomal RNA", at positions 355 to 774 of the family's 1533-position model. The record is from RNAcentral.
UGGGGAAUAUUGCACAAUGGGCGCAAGCCUGAUGCAGCCAUGCCGCGUGUAUGAAGAAGGCCUUCGGGUUGUAAAGUACUUUCAGCGGGGAGGAAGGCGAUAAGGUUAAUAACCUUGUCGAUUGACGUUACCCGCAGAAGAAGCACCGGCUAACUCCGUGCCAGCAGCCGCGGUAAUACGGAGGGUGCAAGCGUUAAUCGGAAUUACUGGGCGUAAAGCGCACGCAGGCGGUCUGUCAAGUCGGAUGUGAAAUCCCCGGGCUCAACCUGGGAACUGCAUUCGAAACUGGCAGGCUAGAGUCUUGUAGAGGGGGGUAGAAUUCCAGGUGUAGCGGUGAAAUGCGUAGAGAUCUGGAGGAAUACGGGUGGCGAAGGCGGCCCCCUGGACAAAGACUGACGCUCAGGUGCGAAAGCGUGGGGAGCAAACA